CAACCCGGCACAUCCCGGCCAUGGCCUCGAGCUCCCUCCCGCUCCUCGCCCUCCUGGCCCUGCUGGCCCUGCCAGGGCUCCGGGCGGCCGUGACCCUGCUGGAGUCCGGGGGGGACCUCCAGCCCCCCGGGGGGUCCCUGACUCUGCUCUGCCGCGGAUCUGGGUUCAAUUUUGGAAACCACGACAUGUACUGGAUCCGCCAGAGACCCGGGAAGGCGCUGGAAUGGCUCGCAGGGAUCAGCUACGGUGGUGGCCUCACCUUCUACGCGCCGUCAGUGCAGGGCCGGUUCAGGAUCUCCAGGGACAACGGGCAGAGCUCGGUGACGCUGACCAUGAACAACCUCAAGGACGAGGAUUCCGGCGCCUAUUUCUGUGCCAGGUGUUACAGUUUUGGUUGUGGUGCUGCUGCUGCUUGGGCUGGUGGUGAUGACCUUGGUGGUUUUGGCCCCAUGUCCAAUCUCCACCUUUCUCCGUGACUCAGACCCUUCCUCCCUUCACUCCUUUAUUUGUUUGGGUUCUGGGGAAAUUUGGGAUGACCUCACCCAAUUGGGUCCUUCUAUGAAACUGAUUCCAACAGAUUGAGACUGACUGGAGCCGUUCAUCCCCCCA
Non-coding RNA from Oenanthe melanoleuca, 609 nucleotides. NCBI's taxonomy places the organism in Eukaryota, Metazoa, Chordata, Aves, Passeriformes, Muscicapidae. The record is from the annotation of a RefSeq genome assembly.